Molecule: ribosomal RNA, 498 nt
Filed under: uncultured bacterium
Lineage: Bacteria
Description: partial 16S ribosomal RNA
Rfam family: Bacterial small subunit ribosomal RNA
Source: RNAcentral
AUUGAACGCUGGCGGCAUGCCUUACACAUGCAAGUCGAAUGGUAACAGGUCUUCGGAUGCUGACGAGUGGCGAACGGGUGAGUAAUACAUCGGAACGUGCCUAGUAGUGGGGGAUAACUACUCGAAAGAGUGGCUAAUACCGCAUGAGACCUACGGAUGAAAGCAGGGGAUCGCAAGACCUUGUGCUACUAGAGCGGCCGAUGGCAGAUUAGGUAGUUGGUGGGAUAAAAGCUUACCAAGCCGACGAUCUGUAGCUGGUCUGAGAGGACGAUCAGCCACACUGGCACUGAGACACGGCCCAGACUCCUACGGGAGGCAGCAGUGGGGAAUUUUGGACAAUGGGCGAAAGCCUGAUCCAGCAAUGCCGCGUGCAGGAUGAAGGCCUUCGGGUUGUAAACUGCUUUUGUACGGAACGAAAAGCCCUGGGUUAAUACCCUGGGGUCAUGACGGUACCGUAAGAAUAAGGAUCGGCUAACUCCGUGCCAGCCGCCGCGGUAA